Non-coding RNA from Myodes glareolus (Bank vole), 2587 nucleotides. The record is from RefSeq and is a predicted model, not a curated record. Lineage: Eukaryota; Metazoa; Chordata; Mammalia; Rodentia; Cricetidae.
AGUUAUCUACUGCUCCUGGGAGAACAGUCACCACCUCUAGAGGGAGAUCACAGAUGCUCCUUAAGCCAUCACACGUGGAAACCUCUACAUGAGCAGAAAGACAGAUGGACAGCUCCCAGUGCUCAUGAAGACAAAGCAAUGGCAAACUAUACAGCAAAUAUGGGCUUCCCAACAGAUGCUGAGUAUUCUGAGAGCAGAGCUGCACUCUCUGGAGAGCAAACAGUUCAGAGUCUGCCUGGACCUGCAGGCUCCUCCUUCACCUUCAGCAAGGCGUGGAGACUGAGGUGUUCCCUGGGCCUUUGCUGGAUGCACAGUGUGAACGGAAGACCAAGCAAUGUCUCAUGACCUCCCUGAUGGGUUAUCUCACUCGGGAGUAGCUGGCAUCAGAGGAAGCCGUCUGUACCUCGCAGCAUGCCUUAUUCCAAGCCUGUGUUGUUGAGAAACAAGCAGAAGACUAAAGAAGAAAGCCUUCAAAACCAGUCCCGCCCAGCCGCGAGGGGUGGAGCCACAGCACCCACUCUGCCAACAGAUGGGCCCUGUUCUCAGACAAGGUUUAGGAUCUCUGCCCCAGAACGUUUUUUUGCCUGGCACCUUAGACACCUGUGGUAUUUUCGUCUGCAUCACCUAAUGGCGCCUCUCCGGUUAGACAAGCUGGUGGUCACAGUCCCACAGUCAGAUUCCUAGGCUGUUAGCAGCGGGGCAGAGAGGCCUGUUACUCUGAGACAGUCUCCAUAGUGAUGAUGACAAGGAAAGAUGCUCCCACCAUACCUCACCCCCCACUCCAGUCCCGUCUGAUCACUGGCUGGCUACAGCCACAGAGCCCUGUCGCUGACAUAGUCUUAGCUGAGCCCACCGAAGCCCAAGGUACAGGACAAGCUGAAGCCACCAAGAAAGCUUCCAGAUGGCGCAUCCCAAAGACCUCAGCUAACCACACGUCACCCCAUAGAUCAGAGGAUUCUUCCAUCCUUUUCUCAACCUUCCAUUUUCCUUUGUGUGUACAUAUGCCCAGGCCCUGUGUCUUUUCCCCCCAUAACCCCCAAGUGGGUGACAGCUGCUGGCUGCCUCUCCCAGACAGGCUUCUGGCUGCUACUCCCAAGUUGGAGGCUGAGCCCGGUCUUCUGAGAAGUCUCUAGUGUCAGCCUCUGCUCUGAGCUCAGGACCAUGCUACCCAUCUUCUCUUCACCCUCUGGGUGACGGGGUCUGCUGGACUCAGACAGCAGCUGUUCUUUCCAGACUCAGAUAACCUCCUAACAGAGCACAGGCUUCUGGAGUCCUGGACAUGUUGGCCAAGUCAGAAACUUAAAAGGAAGAGAAUGGGACCCACCUUUGGCUACAGGAUGGUCAAGAGCUUUCCAAACUGGUCAGACAGCCUUGCCCACAAGAAAGGAGGCAUAAGGACUUCCCAGGUAGAUGGUGAAGGAGUCGAUAAAUCACAGAGUCGCGCGAGCUCCAGCCACUUUCAGUGACUUCCUUGCUGUUGUGUGACAUGCAUCUAUUCCCUCUUGGCCCACGCCAGCAUAGAGCCACACUGUACGAAUGCAGCUUUAUUCUCUGGUAAGUACUGGAGGGACAAGGUUAGACCUGGUCCCCACACUAAAGAUGCUGUGCACCGUUGCUAGCUCCCCAUGCCAGGACCGCACCUAUAGGUGGCUGGUGAACUGGAGGGGAGAGAAUAGGAAGCCUAUUGCUUGGAGCUGGCUGGACCAAUGGAGGGGUUGGCUCCAUCUCAGGGCAGCAACAGCUUGGCACAGCAUGAAAAGAUGAAAGGUUUUGACUUCUGCUUCUCCCUAAAUGCACCUUGAGGGGCCUGCCUUCCUACCAGCAGCAAUCAAGGCCUCCCUCCCCUGACAAGGACACCAUUAUUUUAACAACUGUACUCUCCAGGACUGGCCAGCUACAACCUGAUGCUGGCCUUUUCUACCCCUCUCCCUGGCAGCCAGGGGAAAAACUGGCCCCAGGAAGCUAUUUCCACCUACCUACUUCCUGGGUGCUCCAUCUAGUUACCUGGAGAUGGGUGGUCAGACUUCACUGGACAGUAGCCAGCAUCCGUGGAAAGUGAGUGAGGAGGAGCACAGCUAGGUCACCUAGGCUCACUAGACCUGGUCACCGAGGUGGAAGCAGACAACAGACUGGCCAAGGGGUAAGGGUCGCAGUGGAAUGCAGUGAGACAGGAAGAUGGCCGAGCAAUGGAUACAGCGAAGAUGGCCGAGCGAGAGGAGACUAAACACAGUGGCUUCCUAGCAGCUGGGACAGACAAAGCAGGUGAUAAGGGGGUUGCUGAGAUGGAGAGAGUAAACACAUAUACUUUCCAUAAUGCCAAGACAAGAUGCAUGACCAAAGUAACUUAAGGGAGAGUUUACGUUGACUUACAAUUCGAGGGUGCAGUCCAUCAUGUUAGGGGAGUCACAGACAGCAGCAGAAGCAUGAAGCUACAGGGGACCUUACAUUUACAGCCAGGAAGCAGGGAUGAACACUUGCUUGCCUUUUCUGAGUCCAGGACCAUGACCCCAGUGAUGUAACACGAGGGCCGGAUUGUUGGGGUAUCUGUCCUGCACAAUACCCCACAGCCGGCAAGUCCCAGAGAAAA